RNAcentral lists this long non-coding RNA (286 nucleotides) under Sorghum bicolor (sorghum). RNAcentral's name for it is "long non-coding RNA (SBIC_LNC012942)". Lineage: Eukaryota; Viridiplantae; Streptophyta; Magnoliopsida; Poales; Poaceae. The record is from RNAcentral.
ACUAACCAAAUCCAUUGCUACUAUCCCUUUAGGCUACAAAGAAAGUCUCUCGAUGUGAGUGAUAAAUAGAGAAGACUGCAACCGUAGUCUCCUUCUAACCUUGGUAAGGAUGAUCUAUUGUUCUAUUGUGGAGGCUAACGGAAUCUAGACACCACAAAGGAUGUUCAACCCGCACCUAUAAACCCUAUCCUUCCUGCUAACGAGAUUUGAUCUACAAAGGUAACUCGGAAUUGUCACGUUCCUCACUACUACCACGGUCCAGCUAGUCAGGGAAUAUCUAUGAGUA